UUAAUGUUACUGCUCAUACUCCAAAUUAUAGAAUGCUUAAGAUAAUUAAAUUAUCUGACUUUUAUAAUUCACUACACGGUGACCUCAAAUUUACCUCAUUAGAAUAUUUAGUACUUCUGCACUUCUCCCACUUCUCAAAGUUUUCCCAUACCAGGAUUCCCCACCACCUAGGAACAGCCUUUGCAAGAUACCAAUGCUCUCUAAAUCCCCAAAGCAGGGUCUAUUUCCUGAUCGAACAAAGAGCAACAAAGAAGUGGGUGGUAACCACCUCUCUGAGGCAAGCCAGGACCCAUGGAGUCUGAUCUACAACACAAGCAGUAGCAGUUCCACAUCUCCCUACCACCUCUUAUUUCCUACGAAGUCUUUCUGCCUGAAACUGGAAAACCCGAACUAUUAUUGAGGAAGUGAAGCCCUUCCAUUUGAAUCCUGAGAAAGACGCGCUCAAAGAACCCAGCGAACAAAGGAGAGGGUUGGAGCCCACGCAAAACAUGGGUGUGAUAAAGCCACACGCGACCUGAGCCCCCACCCUCAGUAACUACUCUCCAGCGCCCACCGGGAGGAGGGGUCCGGGGAAAGGAUUGGCAUCCUCUGCUUCUGCAGAAAACAUGGCUACCAACAGCUUCUGUAUCCACCUGCGGAGGAGACUGACUGCUCUGUUAUUCCCCCAGCAUCUGUGAAGAGGCUCUGACUGGCUAAAGUGUUGGUAUAGUGAUCACCCCAGGGUUAGGCAACCAUGGCUGGUGAAAAGGAAAAACGUUAUGAACCUGGCUGUGCGGAGCUACCUGAGGAAGCUUGUAGGAGAAGGGUCAGUUUGCAGAGAAAGGGGGGCCUGGGCAGAUGACGCAAGAGGUGCCCAUUACAUCCCUCUAGAGGAAGGAGUCUGUAGCUUUAGGGGAAGACAGAGCCACAAGAUGGAAGGAGCUUGGAUGUCUGAACUAUUCCAUGGAGAAAAGCUGCAGCCAACGAAGAACACCUGCAAUGGACUCUUAACCUGGGGGUGACGACAACCACUGAAAUAUGCUGCAUCUUAGUCCAGGGAUUUUUAAAGUGUGGUUCCUGGAAGAGCUGGAUCAGAGUCAUCUGUGUUGAUGGUUUAACAUAAAGAUUUUCGAGCCCCAAGACUCAAGUAGGACAAGGAAUUUGAAUUUUUAAGCAGCUCACCUGACUUGUCUGUCCUCUAAUGUCUGAAGACAUCUGACCUCUGCUCUUUCAGUAAAAGCAACAAUGGUUUUAUGAGCAUUGUCGUCACAUCUCUCCACUCAAGGGAUCCUUCUCAUUUCUCCCAGCUGAGGUCACCCACAGCUGCUGCUUCUAACUGCUGGCUUCCAGCCUGCUGUCUGCCAGCUGGCUCUACCCUCUCCUAUAACACGGCAGAGAGUAGCUGUGGUCUCCUGCGUGCUCACCCUCUGCUCCCUUGGUCCUGCUCCAUGCUUUGGUCCUGCACUUAAAUUUUACAAGCAUACUCUCUUUCUCUUAAGUAACUGCCUGAAAAGCCAAGAAGUAGAGUGACGGGGUGGUGUUGAAGGUGGCA
RNAcentral lists this long non-coding RNA (1531 nucleotides) under Homo sapiens (human). RNAcentral describes it as "HSALNT0336434". The record is from RNAcentral. Lineage: Eukaryota; Metazoa; Chordata; Mammalia; Primates; Hominidae.